CACCAAAAAAGUUCACAAGUGAAUCUAUAUAAAAUGGUGAAUAGAACAAUGCGGUUGAAAAAGAAAAUUAUUACUUACCGUGCCAGCAGUUUAAGGUAAUCAAUAUACUUCGUUCUGCUUUCCUCAGCUUUUCUCGAUUGUCUCUGCCAAAUGCUGCUCAAGGCAUACAUUAUAUAUUAUUAAAAAAGAAAAACAAGAAAAUAGCAGACAAUUUUACAUGUAUAGAAAAGAAGCCAAGUGUUCAAAGAAUUAACCAAAAGAUUAAAAUUAAUGUCCAUUAAAGUAUUCUGAAUGGAAAGCUGUGAAGGGG
RNAcentral lists this long non-coding RNA (310 nucleotides) under Erythranthe guttata (spotted monkey flower). RNAcentral's name for it is "long non-coding RNA (EGUT_LNC003677)". Lineage: Eukaryota; Viridiplantae; Streptophyta; Magnoliopsida; Lamiales; Phrymaceae. The record is from RNAcentral.